CCCUUAGAUGUUCUGGGCAGCACGCGCGCUACACUGAUGCGCUCAACGAGUUUAUGACCUUGCCCGGAAGGGUUGGGUAAUCUUUUCAAAACGCAUCGUGAUGGGGAUAGAUUAUUGCAAUUAUUAAUCUUCAACGAGGAAUUCCCAGUAAGCGCGAGUCAUCAGCUCGCGUUGAUUACGUCCCUGCCCUUUGUACACACCGCCCGUCGCUACUACCGAUUGGAUGGUUUAGUGAGACCCUCGGAUCGGUCCCGACUCGGGGUGGGCUUCUGCCCCGGUCGUGGUUUCGCCGAGAAGACGGUCAAACUUGACUAUCUAGAGGAAGUAAAAGUCGUAACA
This 339-nucleotide ribosomal RNA is filed under the name uncultured eukaryote. Its description in RNAcentral is "partial 18S ribosomal RNA". It matches the Rfam family "Eukaryotic small subunit ribosomal RNA", at positions 1470 to 1796 of the family's 1831-position model. The record is from RNAcentral.